This 75-nucleotide transfer RNA is filed under the name Oscillospiraceae bacterium. Its description in RNAcentral is "tRNA-Glu". It matches the Rfam family "tRNA". Rfam says of the family: Transfer RNA (tRNA) molecules are approximately 80 nucleotides in length. Their secondary structure includes four short double-helical elements and three loops (D, anti-codon, and T loops). Further hydrogen bonds mediate the characteristic L-shaped molecular structure. tRNAs have two regions of fundamental functional importance: the anti-codon, which is responsible for specific mRNA codon recognition, and the 3' end, to which the tRNAs corresponding amino acid is attached (by aminoacyl-tRNA synthetases). tRNAs cope with the degeneracy of the genetic code in two manners: having more than one tRNA (with a specific anti-codon) for a particular amino acid; and 'wobble' base-pairing, i.e. permitting non-standard base-pairing at the 3rd anti-codon position. Lineage: Bacteria; Bacillati; Bacillota; Clostridia; Eubacteriales; Oscillospiraceae. The record is from RNAcentral.
GGCCCUUUGGUCAAGAGGUUAAGACACCGCCCUUUCACGGCGGUAACAUGGGUUCGAAUCCCGUACGGGUCACCA